Molecule: ribosomal RNA, 253 nt
Filed under: uncultured bacterium
Lineage: Bacteria
Description: partial 16S ribosomal RNA
Rfam family: Bacterial small subunit ribosomal RNA
Source: RNAcentral
UACGUAGGGUGCAAGCGUUAAUCGGAAUUACUGGGCGUAAAGCGUGCGCAGGUGGUUGUGCAAGACAGGUGUGAAAUCCCCGGGCUUAACCUGGGAACUGCACUUGUGACUGCACGGCUGGAGUACGGCAGAGGGGGAUGGAAUUCCGCGUGUAGCAGUGAAAUGCGUAGAUAUGCGGAGGAACACCGAUGGCGAAGGCAGUCCCCUGGGCCUGUACUGACGCUCAUGCACGAAAGCGUGGGGAGCAAACAGG